This 2931-nucleotide ribosomal RNA is filed under the name Staphylococcus epidermidis PM221. RNAcentral's name for it is "LSU rRNA". It matches the Rfam family "Bacterial large subunit ribosomal RNA". Lineage: Bacteria; Bacillati; Bacillota; Bacilli; Caryophanales; Staphylococcaceae. The record is from RNAcentral.
GAUUAAGUUAUUAAGGGCGCACGGUGGAUGCCUUGGCACUAGAAGCCGAUGAAGGACGUUACUAACGACGAUAUGCUUUGGGUAGCUGUAAGUAAGCGUUGAUCCAGAGAUUUCCGAAUGGGGGAACCCAGCAUGAGUUAUGUCAUGUUAUCGACAUGUGAAUUCAUAGCAUGUCAGAAGGCAGACCCGGAGAACUGAAACAUCUUAGUACCCGGAGGAAGAGAAAGAAAAAUCGAUUCCCUGAGUAGCGGCGAGCGAAACGGGAAUAGCCCAAACCAACAAGCUUGCUUGUUGGGGUUGUAGGACACUCUAUACGGAGUUACAAAAGAACAUGUUAGACGAAUCAUCUGGAAAGAUGAAUCAAAGAAGGUAAUAAUCCUGUAGUCGAAAACAUAUUCUCUCUUGAGUGGAUCCUGAGUACGACGGAGCACGUGAAAUUCCGUCGGAAUCUGGGAGGACCAUCUCCUAAGGCUAAAUACUCUCUAGUGACCGAUAGUGAACCAGUACCGUGAGGGAAAGGUGAAAAGUACCCCGGAAGGGGAGUGAAAGAGAACUUGAAACCGUGUGCUUACAAGUAGUCAGAGCCCGUUAAUGGGUGAUGGCGUGCCUUUUGUAGAAUGAACCGGCGAGUUACGAUCUGAUGCAAGGUUAAGCAGCAAAUGUGGAGCCGCAGCGAAAGCGAGUCUGAAUAGGGCGUUGAGUAUUUGGUCGUAGACCCGAAACCAGGUGAUCUACCCUUGGUCAGGUUGAAGUUCAGGUAACACUGAAUGGAGGACCGAACCGACUUACGUUGAAAAGUGAGCGGAUGAACUGAGGGUAGCGGAGAAAUUCCAAUCGAACUUGGAGAUAGCUGGUUCUCUCCGAAAUAGCUUUAGGGCUAGCCUCAAGUGAUGAUUAUUGGAGGUAGAGCACUGUUUGGACGAGGGGCCCCUCUCGGGUUACCGAAUUCAGACAAACUCCGAAUGCCAAUUAAUUUAACUUGGGAGUCAGAACAUGGGUGAUAAGGUCCGUGUUCGAAAGGGAAACAGCCCAGACCACCAGCUAAGGUCCCAAAAUAUAUGUUAAGUGGAAAAGGAUGUGGCGUUGCCCAGACAACUAGGAUGUUGGCUUAGAAGCAGCCAUCAUUUAAAGAGUGCGUAAUAGCUCACUAGUCGAGUGACACUGCGCCGAAAAUGUACCGGGGCUAAACAUAUUACCGAAGCUGUGGAUUGUCCUUUGGACAAUGGUAGGAGAGCGUUCUAAGGGCGUCGAAGCAUGAUCGCAAGGACAUGUGGAGCGCUUAGAAGUGAGAAUGCCGGUGUGAGUAGCGAAAGACGGGUGAGAAUCCCGUCCACCGAUUGACUAAGGUUUCCAGAGGAAGGCUCGUCCGCUCUGGGUUAGUCGGGUCCUAAGCUGAGGCCGACAGGCGUAGGCGAUGGAUAACAGGUUGAUAUUCCUGUACCACCUAGUAUCGUUUUAAUCGAUGGGGGGACGCAGUAGGAUAGGCGAAGCGUGCUGUUGGAGUGCACGUCCAAGCAGUAAGGCUGAGUGUUAGGCAAAUCCGGCACUCAUAAGGCUGAGCUGUGAUGGGGAGAGGAAAUUGUUUCCUCGAGUCGUUGAUUUCACACUGCCGAGAAAAGCCUCUAGAUAGAUAACAGGUGCCCGUACCGCAAACCGACACAGGUAGUCAAGAUGAGAAUUCUAAGGUGAGCGAGCGAACUCUCGUUAAGGAACUCGGCAAAAUGACCCCGUAACUUCGGGAGAAGGGGUGCUCUUUAGGGUUCACGCCCAGAAGAGCCGCAGUGAAUAGGCCCAAGCGACUGUUUAUCAAAAACACAGGUCUCUGCUAAACCGUAAGGUGAUGUAUAGGGGCUGACGCCUGCCCGGUGCUGGAAGGUUAAGAGGAGUGGUUAGCUUCUGCGAAGCUACGAAUCGAAGCCCCAGUAAACGGCGGCCGUAACUAUAACGGUCCUAAGGUAGCGAAAUUCCUUGUCGGGUAAGUUCCGACCCGCACGAAAGGCGUAACGAUUUGGGCACUGUCUCAACGAGAGACUCGGUGAAAUCAUAGUACCUGUGAAGAUGCAGGUUACCCGCGACAGGACGGAAAGACCCCGUGGAGCUUUACUGUAGCCUGAUAUUGAAAUUCGGCACAGCUUGUACAGGAUAGGUAGGAGCCUUUGAAACGUGAGCGCUAGCUUACGUGGAGGCGUUGGUGGGAUACUACCCUAGCUGUGUUGGCUUUCUAACCCGCACCACUUAUCGUGGUGGGAGACAGUGUCAGGCGGGCAGUUUGACUGGGGCGGUCGCCUCCUAAAAGGUAACGGAGGCGCUCAAAGGUUCCCUCAGAAUGGUUGGAAAUCAUUCAUAGAGUGUAAAGGCAUAAGGGAGCUUGACUGCGAGACCUACAAGUCGAGCAGGGUCGAAAGACGGACUUAGUGAUCCGGUGGUUCCGCAUGGAAGGGCCAUCGCUCAACGGAUAAAAGCUACCCCGGGGAUAACAGGCUUAUCUCCCCCAAGAGUUCACAUCGACGGGGAGGUUUGGCACCUCGAUGUCGGCUCAUCGCAUCCUGGGGCUGUAGUCGGUCCCAAGGGUUGGGCUGUUCGCCCAUUAAAGCGGUACGCGAGCUGGGUUCAGAACGUCGUGAGACAGUUCGGUCCCUAUCCGUCGUGGGCGUAGGAAAUUUGAGAGGAGCUGUCCUUAGUACGAGAGGACCGGGAUGGACAUACCUCUGGUGUACCAGUUGUCGUGCCAACGGCAUAGCUGGGUAGCUAUGUAUGGACGGGAUAAGUGCUGAAAGCAUCUAAGCAUGAAGCCCCCCUCAAGAUGAGAUUUCCCAACUUCGGUUAUAAGAUCCCUCGAAGAUGACGAGGUUAAUAGGUUCGAGGUGGAAGCGUGGUGACACGUGGAGCUGACGAAUACUAAUCGAUCGAAGACUUAAUCAAUUUUUAAAA